RNAcentral lists this transfer RNA (77 nucleotides) under Bacteroides sp. RNAcentral describes it as "tRNA-His". It matches the Rfam family "tRNA". From Rfam's summary of the family: Transfer RNA (tRNA) molecules are approximately 80 nucleotides in length. Their secondary structure includes four short double-helical elements and three loops (D, anti-codon, and T loops). Further hydrogen bonds mediate the characteristic L-shaped molecular structure. tRNAs have two regions of fundamental functional importance: the anti-codon, which is responsible for specific mRNA codon recognition, and the 3' end, to which the tRNAs corresponding amino acid is attached (by aminoacyl-tRNA synthetases). tRNAs cope with the degeneracy of the genetic code in two manners: having more than one tRNA (with a specific anti-codon) for a particular amino acid; and 'wobble' base-pairing, i.e. permitting non-standard base-pairing at the 3rd anti-codon position. The record is from RNAcentral. RNAcentral also lists the same sequence under 8 other names. Lineage: Bacteria; Pseudomonadati; Bacteroidota; Bacteroidia; Bacteroidales; Bacteroidaceae.
GUGAGCAUAGUUCAGUUGGUUAGAACGUCGGAUUGUGGUUCCGAAGGUCGUGGGUUCGAAUCCCACUGUUCACCCCA